Molecule: long non-coding RNA, 425 nt
Organism: Oncorhynchus tshawytscha (Chinook salmon)
Lineage: Eukaryota; Metazoa; Chordata; Actinopteri; Salmoniformes; Salmonidae
Source: Ensembl
AACAGGUCACAAAUCUUGCUGUUGUGAUGUGUAAUGAACACAAGAGGAGACAGAGAGCUGGAUUCAAGUGCAGGGUGCAGCAGGUGUUUAUUGCAAAGGACCACAGGAAGAGGCAGGUAGCUGGGUCCAGGGGCAGGCAGAAGGUUAUACACAGGAGGAGGCAGGUAGCUGGGUCCAGGGGCAGGCAGAAGGUUAUACACAGGAGGGGGCAUGUAGCUGGGUCCAGGGGCAGGCAGAAGGUCAUACACAGGAGGGGGCAUGUAGCUGGGUCCAGGGGCAGGCAGAAGGUCAUACACAGGAGAAGGCAGGUAGCUGGGUCCAGGGGCAGGCAGAAGGUCAUACACAGGAGAAGGCAGGUAGCUGGGUCCAGGGACAGGCAGAAGGUCAUACACAGGAGAAGGCAUGUAGCUGGGUCCAGGGGCAGG